RNAcentral lists this ribosomal RNA (301 nucleotides) under uncultured bacterium. RNAcentral describes it as "partial 16S ribosomal RNA". It matches the Rfam family "Bacterial small subunit ribosomal RNA", at positions 509 to 808 of the family's 1533-position model. The record is from RNAcentral.
CAGCCGCCGCGGUAAAACGUAGGUGGCAAGCGUUGUCCGGAAUUAUUGGGCGUAAAGGGCUCGCAGGCGGUUUCUUAAGUCUGAUGUGAAAGCCCCCGGCUCAACCGGGGAGGGUCAUUGGAAACUGGGAAACUUGAGUGCAGAAGAGGAGAGUGGAAUUCCACGUGUAGCGGUGAAAUGCGUAGAGAUGUGGAGGAACACCAGUGGCGAAGGCGACUCUCUGGUCUGGAACUGACGCUGAGGAGCGAAAGCGUGGGGAGCGAACAGGAUUAGAUACCCCGUAGUCCCUGUCUCUUAUACA